Molecule: ribosomal RNA, 253 nt
Filed under: uncultured bacterium
Lineage: Bacteria
Description: partial 16S ribosomal RNA
Rfam family: Bacterial small subunit ribosomal RNA
Source: RNAcentral
UACGGAGGGUGCAAGCGUUAUCCGGAUUCACUGGGUUUAAAGGGUGCGUAGGCGGGCAGGUAAGUCCGUGGUGAAAUCUCUGAGCUUAACUCAGAAACUGCCAUGGAUACUAUUUGUCUUGAAUGUUGUGGAGGUAAGCGGAAUAUGUCAUGUAGCGGUGAAAUGCUUAGAUAUGACAUAGAACACCAAUUGCGAAGGCAGCUUGCUACACUAUCAUUGACACUGAGGCACGAAAGCGUGGGGAUCAAACAGG